This 348-nucleotide long non-coding RNA is filed under the name Brassica napus (rape). Its description in RNAcentral is "long non-coding RNA (BNAP_LNC009854)". Lineage: Eukaryota; Viridiplantae; Streptophyta; Magnoliopsida; Brassicales; Brassicaceae. The record is from RNAcentral.
UAUAAGUAAAUGUAGCCAACCUACUAAUAAUUUGUCCUCUGUGGCUUGGCAAAUACCUAAAUGUACACGCAAAACCCCAUCAUCAAACUAUCUUCUUCCUUCUCUUCUUUACCUCUGCUUCAUUCUCUUCUCUCCUCUGCUUUGAUCUGUGUUUUUUUAAGUCAUACAGCCAUCACUGCCAAGCCGUGACCACACCACCUCCUCGCCACUCAGACUCUGCCGUCACCAUGACCCUACCACCAUUUCUCAACCGUGCUAUAACAACUUUCAUUAUACUCAUGAUAAUAGGGUUUUUGCCUAUUGCAAAUGUUGUAGUAUAGUGGGGUGAAUGUUGAACCAGUCCUAGUG